This 2976-nucleotide small RNA is filed under the name Pan troglodytes (chimpanzee). RNAcentral describes it as "retained intron". Lineage: Eukaryota; Metazoa; Chordata; Mammalia; Primates; Hominidae. The record is from RNAcentral.
CUUUCUUUCUUUUUGAUGGCACUGGAGCAGAGAGAAACUAAAGCAGGAAAAUGGGAAGUGAUUAUCUUUGUGUUUUUUAAGAUGAAGCUCCACUGAAGCUGCUAGAUGGGCAGUUACCCAAGCAGCAAACAGGAGAGUGAGGGGUGGGAAAUUUACUUACAUGGGAAGUAGGGUGCUUGGGAUUUUAGGGCUGACACUGAGGAGCUACUAGGGCUUUUCUUUCCUUAUAUUUAUUUAUUUAUUUUUUUUGAGAUGGAGUCUCACUCUGUCGCCAGGCUGGAGUGCAGUGGCGCGAUCUUGGCUCACUGCAAUCUCCGUCUCCCAGGUUCAAGCGAUUCUCCUCUCUCAGCCUCCCAAGUAGCUGGAAUUACAGACACGCACCACCGAGCCCAGCUAAUUUUUGUAUUUUUAGUAGAGACAGGGUUUCACCAUGUUGGCCAGGAUGGUCUCCAUCUUUUGACCUUGUGAUCUGCCGGCCUCAGCCUCCCAAUGUGCUAGGAUUACAGGUGUGAGCCACCGCACCCGGCCAACUACGGCUUUUCUAAAUUGUGCAAGGAGAGGUUAAACUUAGGAGGAGAUGCAAAUCAGAUUUUAGGAGAAUUCAGAUUCAUAGCAAAGAGCAGUGGCAGUAAAGAUUCAAAUGCCCAGGACAACGUGGAGCUUUUCAGGGAGCAUCUUUCCAUUCAUUCAGGGAGUAUUUAUUGAGUACCUAGUAUGUGUUUAGCACUUUGAUAAGACUUGAAAAUGUCAGUUCAACAAAAAUACACUUGGACUGAACUCAACUCCUUUUAAGAAAAAUUGACAUGCUUCUCACCAAGCAGAAGGCCUCAGUUGCAGACAGGGACCAAAACGUUCCUGAUGGUUUCUCUCCAACUGGCUCUGUCUCCUCAGUUUGCAUCUCUGGUAGGCGCAGGUGUGAUGCUGCUCCUGAUGGUGAAGAUGGGACACUUUUUCUACACACUGCCAAAUGCUGUGCUGGCUGGUAUUAUUCUGAGCAACGUCAUUCCCUACCUUGAAACCAUUUCUAACCUACCCAGCCUGUGGAGGCAGGACCAAUAUGACUGUGCUCUUUGGAUGAUGACAUUCUCAUCUUCAAUUUUCCUGGGACUGGACAUUGGACUAAUUAUCUCGGUAGUUUCUGCUUUCUUCAUCACCACUGUUCGUUCACACAGGUACUUUGUCUCAGGUAAUAGGAGGUUAACAAGGCAAGGUAAGCCAACUCUGACCUAAAGGCAAGUGCAUUUCCUUUCAGAGCUAAGAUUCUUCUCCUGGGUCAAAUCCCUAACACCAACAUUUAUAGAAGCAUCAAUGAUUAUCGGGAGAUCAUCACCAUUCCUGGGGUGAAAAUCUUCCAGUGCUGCAGCUCAAUUACAUUUGUAAAUGUUUACUACCUAAAGCAUAAGCUGUUAAAAGAGGUUGAUAUGGUAAAGGUGCCUCUUAAAGAAGAAGAAAUUUUCAGCUUGUUUAAUUCAAGUGACACCAGUCUACAAGGAGGAAAGAUUUGCAGGUGUUUCUGCAACUGUGAUGAUCUGGAGCCGCUGCCCAGGAUUCUUUACACAGAGCGAUUUGAAAAUAAACUGGAUCCCGAAGCAUCCUCCGUUAACCUGAUUCACUGCUCACAUUUUGAGAGCAUGAACGCAAGCCAAACUGCAUCCGAAGACCAAGUGCCAUACACAGUAUCGUCCGUGUCUCAGAAAAAUCAAGGGCAACAGGAGGAGGUGGAGGAAGUUUGGCUUCCUAAUAACUCAUCGAGAAACAGCUCACCAGGACUGCCUGAUGUGGCGGAAAGCCAGGGGAGGAGAUCACUCAUCCCUUACUCAGAUGCGUCUCUACUGCCCAGUGUCCACACCAUCAUCCUGGAUUUCUCCAUGGUACACUACGUGGAUUCACGGGGGUUAGUCGUAUUAAGACAGAUAUGCAAUGCCUUUCAAAACGCCAACAUUUUGAUACUCAUUGCAGGGUGUCACUCUUCCAUAGUCAGGGCAUUUGAGAGGAAUGAUUUCUUUGACGCUGGCAUCACCAAGACCCAGCUGUUCCUCAGCGUUCACGACGCCGUGCUGUUUGCCUUGUCAAGGAAGGUCAUAGGCUCCUCUGAGUUAAACAUCGAUGAAUCUGAGACAGUGAUACGGGAAACCUACUCAGAAACAGACAAGAAUGACAAUUCAAGAUAUAAAAUGAGCAGCAGUUUUCUAGGAAGCCAAAAAAAUGUAAGUCCAGGCUUCAUCAAGAUCCAACAGCCUGUAGAAGAGGAGUUGGAGUUGGAUUUGGAGUUGGAAUCAGAACAAGAGGCUGGGCUGGGUCUGGACCUAGACCUGGAUCGGGAGCUGGAGCCUGAAAUGGAGCCCAAGGCUGAGACCGAGACCAAGACCCAGACCGAGAUGGAGCCCCAGCCUGAGACUGAGCCUGAGAUGGAGCCCAACCCUAAAUCUAGGCCAAGAGCUCACACUUUUCUUCAGCAGCGUUACUGGCCUAUGUAUCAUCCGUCUAUGGCUUCCACCCAGUCUCAGACUCAGACUCGGACGUGGUCAGUGGAGAGGAGACGCCAUCCUAUGGAUUCAUACUCACCGGAGGGCAACAGCAAUGAAGAUGUCUAGGAGAUGAACUAGAAAUAAGGGGUCAGAUAAUGCUGGCAAAUCCUCCUACCCAAAAAGGGGUCAAUUGUCCAGAGACCUAGACUGGAUACGAACUAGCAGUACUUCCUUCCUGACUGUGACUCCUACUACCUGCCAGCCUUCUUCCUUGCUCUGCGCUGGGAUCAUACUCCCAAAUCACAUUACUAAAUGCCAACAAUUAUCUCUGAAUUCCCUAUCCAGGCUCCCCUCAUUUCACCUUCAGCAUAUAUUCUAGUCAUGAAUUUCCUUCUUCACACACCCCGCAUAUCUGGGCUUUGUGCCAGACCAUCUCUAACUUAAUCCUCUCAUCCCUGUUCCCCUUUCUCCAAAGAGAUGAAGCUCAAAUAAAAUGUAUAACUCUAGU